GGGGUUGUGGCUCAGUGGUGGAGCGAUCACCUAGCAUGUGUGAGGCCCUGGGUUCAAUCCUCAGCACCACA
RNAcentral lists this transfer RNA (71 nucleotides) under Marmota monax (woodchuck). Its description in RNAcentral is "tRNA.Ala". It matches the Rfam family "tRNA". From Rfam's summary of the family: Transfer RNA (tRNA) molecules are approximately 80 nucleotides in length. Lineage: Eukaryota; Metazoa; Chordata; Mammalia; Rodentia; Sciuridae. The record is from RNAcentral.